This 435-nucleotide ribosomal RNA is filed under the name Cellulosimicrobium cellulans. RNAcentral describes it as "bacterial SSU rRNA". It matches the Rfam family "Bacterial small subunit ribosomal RNA", at positions 8 to 444 of the family's 1533-position model. Lineage: Bacteria; Bacillati; Actinomycetota; Actinomycetes; Micrococcales; Promicromonosporaceae. The record is from RNAcentral.
AGAGUUUGAUCAUGGCUCAGGACGAACGCUGGCGGCGUGCUUAACACAUGCAAGUCGAACGAUGAAGCCCAGCUUGCUGGGUGGAUUAGUGGCGAACGGGUGAGUAACACGUGAGUAACCUGCCCUUGACUUCGGGAUAACUCCGGGAAACCGGGGCUAAUACCGGAUAUGAGCUACCUUCGCAUGGGGGUGGUUGGAAAGUUUUUCGGUCAGGGAUGGGCUCGCGGCCUAUCAGCUUGUUGGUGGGGUGAUGGCCUACCAAGGCGACGACGGGUAGCCGGCCUGAGAGGGCGACCGGCCACACUGGGACUGAGACACGGCCCAGACUCCUACGGGAGGCAGCAGUGGGGAAUAUUGCACAAUGGGCGCAAGCCUGAUGCAGCGACGCCGCGUGAGGGAUGAAGGCCUUCGGGUUGUAAACCUCUUUCAGCAGGG